CCCUUAGAUGUCCUGGGCUGCACGCGCGCUACACUGGAAGUUACGGAUUGAGAUACUACCUUGUCCGAAAUGGUCCGGGUAAUCACCUAAAAGCUUGUCAUAAUUGGAAUGGAUUAUUGUAACUAGUAAUCCUGAACGAGGAAUUCCUAGUAAGUCCCAGUCAACAGCUGGUACUGAUUGCGUCCCUGCCCUUUGUACACACCGCCCGUCGCUACUACUGAUUGGACGUUUAAGCAAGAUUUUUAAACACUGACAGUGUGUAGUUCACGCUAUACUACAGUGAGAAGAAGAAGAUCGAGCUUACUUGUCUAGAGGAAGUAAAAGUCGUAACA
Molecule: ribosomal RNA, 332 nt
Filed under: uncultured eukaryote
Lineage: Eukaryota
Description: partial 18S ribosomal RNA
Rfam family: Eukaryotic small subunit ribosomal RNA
Source: RNAcentral